RNAcentral lists this transfer RNA (72 nucleotides) under Myotis davidii. It matches the Rfam family "tRNA". Rfam says of the family: Transfer RNA (tRNA) molecules are approximately 80 nucleotides in length. Their secondary structure includes four short double-helical elements and three loops (D, anti-codon, and T loops). The record is from Rfam by way of RNAcentral. Lineage: Eukaryota; Metazoa; Chordata; Mammalia; Chiroptera; Vespertilionidae.
GCCAGUGUUGCUCAGUGGAUAGAGCGUCAGCCGCACAAUGAAGGGUCCUGGGUUCAAUUCCAGGCAAGGGCA